CCAUGCGGGUGCUAUACAUGCAGUCGAGCGGACAGAAGGGAGCUUGCUCCCGGAUGUUAGCGGCGGACGGGUGAGUAACACGUGGGUAACCUGCCUGUAAGACUGGGAUAACUCCGGGAAACCGGAGCUAAUACCGGAUAGUUCCUUGAACCGCAUGGUUCAAGGAUGAAAGACGGUUUCGGCUGUCACUUACAGAUGGACCCGCGGCGCAUUAGCUAGUUGGUGAGGUAACGGCUCACCAAGGCGACGAUGCGUAGCCGACCUGAGAGGGUGAUCGGCCACACUGGGACUGAGACACGGCCCAGACUCCUACGGGAGGCAGCAGUAGGGAAUCUUCCGCAAUGGACGAAAGUCUGACGGAGCAACGCCGCGUGAGUGAUGAAGGUUUUCGGAUCGUAAAGCUCUGUUGUUAGGGAAGAACAAGUGCAAGAGUAACUGCUUGCACCUUGACGGUACCUAACCAGAAAGCCACGGCUAACUACGUGCCAGCAGCCGCGGUAAUACGUAGGUGGCAAGCGUUGUCCGGAAUUAUUGGGCGUAAAGGGCUCGCAGGCGGUUUCUUAAGUCUGAUGUGAAAGCCCCCGGCUCAACCGGGGAGGGUCAUUGGAAACUGGGAAACUUGAGUGCAGAAGAGGAGAGUGGAAUUCCACGUGUAGCGGUGAAAUGCGUAGAGAUGUGGAGGAACACCAGUGGCGAAGGCGACUCUCUGGUCUGUAACUGACGCUGAGGAGCGAAAGCGUGGGGAGCGAACAGGAUUAGAUACCCUGGUAGUCCACGCCGUAAACGAUGAGUGCUAAGUGUUAGGGGUUUCCGCCCCUUAGUGCUGCAGCUAACGCAUUAAGCACUCCGCCUGGGGAGUACGGUCGCA
This 868-nucleotide ribosomal RNA is filed under the name Bacillus altitudinis. Its description in RNAcentral is "bacterial SSU rRNA". It matches the Rfam family "Bacterial small subunit ribosomal RNA", at positions 36 to 890 of the family's 1533-position model. The record is from RNAcentral. Lineage: Bacteria; Bacillati; Bacillota; Bacilli; Caryophanales; Bacillaceae.